CUUGUUAGAAAAGUGAGAACAUGUAUUGCACAAGACAGAGUUUUGUUCAUCGUUUGAGAUUUCUUUGGGAUGCAUAUGGAUUGCAUGUGUGGAGUGUGACCAUGUUUUGGCACACAUGUGAGAACUGGUAUAGGGGGAAUCUCCUCAACCACCACCAGUGUGCAGCAUCCACUUGGAUGAUGCAACAGCAGCCAUAGUGCACCAGAACACCCACCAGCUAUUGAUGGAGAGGAGAGUAGAGUGAUGUAGCCAAUUCAGGGAUGGGGAUUAUUA
This is a long non-coding RNA of Myxocyprinus asiaticus (Chinese sucker), 273 nucleotides long. RefSeq lists it as uncharacterized. The transcript has 3 exons. NCBI's taxonomy places the organism in Eukaryota, Metazoa, Chordata, Actinopteri, Cypriniformes, Catostomidae. The record is from RefSeq and is a predicted model, not a curated record.